This 507-nucleotide ribosomal RNA is filed under the name uncultured bacterium. RNAcentral describes it as "bacterial SSU rRNA". It matches the Rfam family "Bacterial small subunit ribosomal RNA", at positions 32 to 513 of the family's 1533-position model. The record is from RNAcentral.
AAUCAACGCUGGCGGCGUGCCUAACACAUGCAAGUCGAACGCGAAAGCCCCUUCGGGGGUAAGUAGAGUGGCGUCCGGGUGAGUAACACGUAGGUAAUCUACCUUCGGGUGGGGAAGUAACCAGUCGAAAGAUUGGCUAAUACCGCAUAAUGCAGCGGCACCUAAUGGUGAUUAGUUGUUAAAGCGGGGGAGUCGUAAGACCUCGCGCCUGAAGAGGAGCCUGCGGCAGAUUAGCUAGNGGUGAGGUAAUGGCUCACCAAGGCUUCGAUCUGUAGCUGGUCUGAGAGGACGGCCAGCCACACUGGCACUGACACACGGGCCAGACUCCUACGGGAGGCAGCAGUGGGGAAUUUUGGGCAAUGGGCGAAAGCCUGACCCAGCAACGCCGCGUGAGGGAGGAAAUCCUUCGGGAUGUAAACCUCACAAGCAAGGGAAGAGAGCUCAGGGCCGAAUAAGCUUUGAGUCCGACGGUACCUUGCGUAAGCCACGGCUAACUACGUGCCAGCC